RNAcentral lists this ribosomal RNA (207 nucleotides) under uncultured bacterium. RNAcentral's name for it is "partial 16S ribosomal RNA". It matches the Rfam family "Bacterial small subunit ribosomal RNA", at positions 568 to 774 of the family's 1533-position model. The record is from RNAcentral.
CGCGUAGGCGGUUUGUUUAGUUAGGCGUGAAAUUCCUGGGCUUAAUCUGGGGACUGCGCUUAAUACAGGCAGACUUGAGUUCGGAAGAGGGUCGUGGAAUUCCCAGUGUAGAGGUGAAAUUCGUAGAUAUUGGGAAGAACACCGGUGGCGAAGGCGGCGACCUGGUCCGAUACUGACGCUGAGGCGCGAAAGCGUGGGGAGCAAACA